UCUUCUAAUUUUUCACGUCUCCUUCCCUCGUUGCUACUUUCGAGGUCUCAUUCCGUUUCCUCUCGAGAGCACUUUUAUUUUUCAAUCCUCACUCUCAUUUCUCUCCAUUUCGAUUUCCUGGCGUCUUCCGAGUGAGAUCUCCUUGUCGCACGCAGUUCAUCAUCACGGUAAUCCUUCUUCACUCACAGAAUCAUCUCCAUUUCCACUAUCCUUCAUUUUCCAUCGAAUCAUUCCCUCUGUCGGGGUUUCUUCUCCUUUUCACCAUUUCCCUUCGAUUCCACCGAUUAAAACCUUGUUUUCACCAUUAGAAACCUUUUCCACCGAUUCAACUUUGAUUUACACCGAUCAAUUGGUCGAGAAUAGGUUUCCUUCUUCUUCUGGGUUUCUAUCAAGUUUAAUACUCUGUUUCUUGUUCUUCUUCGAGUUUUUGUCAUAUUUCCGCUGCUUCUUCUCUCUGGAAGUCUUCUCUCUCGAAGAAACUUCGAGGAUUCGCGUCGCGCCUACAGUCAUCUUCUCGGAACCACUCUUCCAUCAGUAGUUAUAGUUCACAUUCUUCUCUGUAACACUUUCCCCCCUCUUUAUCCUGUUAAUUUAGUUUUCAUGUUGAUUUUUGAAGAACAAAAAGAUCUCGUGCACGAGAAUCUGCUUCAAAUUUAAAUCUGUGUUAAAUUUAUACACUUUUGUUGUUUUCCCAACAAGUAGAAGCUGCCAAGGGGUUCUUAUCGGUGUUAAGGACUUAUUUGGAUUCCCUUUGCCAUAACAUUCCUUCUCAUACAAUAACCAAUGUACAAUCCAAUGAUGAUAAGGUCCGUGUUUUCUCUUAACAGCAAAAAACACUGCAUUUUUAUGGGUAAUCUAUAUAUUUUUUCCAAUUGUUUCUAAUGUCUCACCUUCUGAAAAUUAGGAUUUAAUCAAAGGGCCUACACUUAUACAGUGGUUAGAUUUUAAUGAUCAAUUGAUUUGGGUCUUGAAGGGUAGGAUUGUAAAAAUACAGCUUAAAUUUAUUGGAAUAUGUUGAAGAUUAAAAAUACAGCUUGACGAAAAGCAUUGGAGAUUUAGAUUUAGAAUAUGUUGAAGAUAGCUGUGGGCAAGACAAUUUUGGGGAAGAUUCAGAAUGCAUGUUGGUGAAUGAUAGAAACCAAAAGUACUAUUUGUUUUGUUAUGUAACUUAUACUUUCAUUGUUUCCCUUCCUUCAAUAAAUGCCUUACAUAUUCUGUGUAAUUAAGGACUUCCAAUUCUACAAUUCUACUCCUAUUAGUGUGUCACGGCAAAGACUUUUGGAAUAGAAGACUUUUGCGUAAGAGAAACAAGUAGAAGACUUUUGGAAUAGAAGAAACCAAUCCAUUUGAAGACCUUUUCGAAACUUUAGUGAAAAUAACAUCAUUGAAGACUAUUAGAGCAAACCGAUUUACAUCAAACUCAUAAUUCUCUUCUGGCUGAGGAGGAGGCAACUGCAUUAUCUACAUGGGCUGUUGGGUGCAUGUGUGGUACCUUGAGACUUGAAAAUGCUAAGUUGUCUGCUGGUGGGGAUGAUGCUCGGAAAGAACGGGAAGUUGUUGUCCUGGCCCUUGGUGCCAUAGCUGAAGGUUGCAUCAAUGGUCUGUUGGAGGGAACAUGUGCAAUUUGCCUGAAUUCCAUGAAACCAGGGCAGGGACAUGCCAUAUUAUAUAUCUAUCUCAUUUUAGGCAAGCUCUUCAGUUGCACAAGAGUGACCCUGGACCAGUCAUUCUAGACAUUAUUAAUACAAUUGAAGGUGGCCCUCCAGUUGAUGUUUCAGUUGUUCGUUCUAUGUGUUGUUCCAAAAUGAGAGGUAACGUGUUUCUGCUUCAUAUUAUUCAGAGCAUUUUGAAUUAUAGGUCGUGAUUUUAUAUUUUUUGGCGUUUUUUCUUUUCCUUUUGUGCCUCUCAUCUUUCUUAGUACCGAGCAAGAUAAUGAGUAUCUUCUGGGUUUAUCACAAGCAUAAAUGUGAUGGCGGAAGUGGAUGUCCCUGGUCAUGCAACAUCAUGGGGUGUUGGAUAUCCUGAUCUUUGGCCAUCACCCUUCUGUAAGUAGCCACUAGAUGUUUCGAAGAAGUUUACUUUCGAUGUCCUGUCUGGUAUUCAAACAGAUAUGAGAAAAAUAUUCCCAUUUGAACUAUUUCACUUGGGUGGUGAUGAAGUGAAUACAGAAAUUGAUCCACAAAAAUGAGGAGGCUGGAAAGGAAGAGAAUGUGAAUUCCAGGCUUAGCUUGUGUUGUAUAUUGAGAGCAGCUAAGCUCAACAUUGCAGAUUUUUUCAAAGAACUUCCACAGUUUGUUGUUAAGGCUGGUCCAACUUUAACUAACCUAUAUGGAACAUAUUGGGAAAACAGGCUGGAGUCAAGGGGUUCAACUCGGGAUGGUACUGGAGUUCACGACAGCAUAGUAAAUCAGCUUCUGACUAAGUCUCUCUGCAUCAUCUCUUCGAACGUUCUCUUCCCUAAUUUCUCAUCCCUUCGAUCGAAGAGGUGAAGCUAGUGGGGGAUAGCGAAAUCACGCAAUGGUGGUGGCUCGUGGCUGUUUCCGAUGGUGGAAUUCGUGAUUUGGGCGAAAGGUGUAGCGGUGGUGGAGCGAACUCGACGGAGUUACCGCGGACAUUGCGUUGGCACUGUCUACACCUGCGACGACUCCAGGUGUAGAUUGUAGAAAAUUGACUAUAAUGUAAUGUAGGUUAAUGUUAUAGUUGGAUUUAAUAUAUGGUUUGAUGUACAAAUAAUGUAUUAAAUAUUAUUACACAAUUUAAUGUUUGAAAUGAAUUUCAUUAUGUUAA
Molecule: RNA transcript, 2787 nt
Organism: Vigna radiata var. radiata (mung bean)
Lineage: Eukaryota; Viridiplantae; Streptophyta; Magnoliopsida; Fabales; Fabaceae
Exons: 11
Source: RefSeq, a predicted model, not a curated record